ACAAGGGAAGUUGUGAAACUUCUUAAUAGAAUAGUUUAGUUAAGUCUAGUUUAGUUUUUGUGUUGUAAAUCGGGAGCCUGCAAGAGUGCACGAGCUCCCGAUGUUUUU
This 108-nucleotide small RNA is filed under the name Phocaeicola vulgatus. RNAcentral's name for it is "Bacteroides sRNA BTnc049". It matches the Rfam family "Bacteroides sRNA BTnc049". Rfam says of the family: An uncharacterized small RNA discovered in Bacteroides thetaiotaomicron The record is from RNAcentral. Lineage: Bacteria; Pseudomonadati; Bacteroidota; Bacteroidia; Bacteroidales; Bacteroidaceae. RNAcentral also lists the same sequence under 1 other name.